This 253-nucleotide ribosomal RNA is filed under the name uncultured bacterium. RNAcentral describes it as "partial 16S ribosomal RNA". It matches the Rfam family "Bacterial small subunit ribosomal RNA", at positions 524 to 776 of the family's 1533-position model. The record is from RNAcentral.
UACGGAGGGUGCAAGCGUUAUCCGGAUUCACUGGGUUUAAAGGGUGCGUAGGAGGGCAGGUAAGUCAGUGGUGAAAUCUCCGAGCUUAACUUGGAAACUGCCGUUGAUACUAUCUGUCUUGAAUACCGUGGAGGUGAGCGGAAUAUGUCAUGUAGCGGUGAAAUGCUUAGAUAUGACAUAGAACACCAAUUGCGAAGGCAGCUCGCUACACGAAUAUUGACUCUGAGGCACGAAAGCGUGGGGAUCAAACAGG